AACCUUUAUGGAGGGAGCCGCCUAAGGCGGGACAGAUGACUGGGGUGAAGUCGUAACAAGGUAGCCGUAGGAGAACCUGCGGCUGGAUCACCUCCUUUCUAAGGAA
RNAcentral lists this ribosomal RNA (106 nucleotides) under Limosilactobacillus reuteri. Its description in RNAcentral is "Lactobacillus reuteri partial 16S ribosomal RNA". It matches the Rfam family "Bacterial small subunit ribosomal RNA", at positions 1437 to 1533 of the family's 1533-position model. Lineage: Bacteria; Bacillati; Bacillota; Bacilli; Lactobacillales; Lactobacillaceae. The record is from RNAcentral.